RNAcentral lists this long non-coding RNA (1016 nucleotides) under Citrus x clementina. Its description in RNAcentral is "Citrus clementina (C. clementina) long non-coding RNA (CCLE_LNC004510)". The record is from RNAcentral. Lineage: Eukaryota; Viridiplantae; Streptophyta; Magnoliopsida; Sapindales; Rutaceae.
UAGAACUGAGUUAGGCUCAUUUCUCAGGGACAGAUCUAAUACCAGUUCUUUGAUUAAAGAAAGUCUGGAAGAAGAAAGAGAAAUAAUAAGGCAGGAUCUGCAACUCUGAUUUCAUUUUAUCAGCUGCCAGGUAUUUUAAAAUAAGCAUUAAGAUUAAUUUCGAGUCAUCUUACAAUGGUAAUUGUUUGAUAGCAGCCUGCUGAGAAAUUAAAUAUCGAGAACUAGUUAUUUUUCUCAAAAGCUUUGACUAAAAUACUCUUAUAAAGGAUUUUUGCUCUCUGCUUUUCAGUUCGCAAUUAUAUGAGGUGGAAGAUGUAUUUUUUUUUUUCAGUCACUAAUUCCUGGAACAAGUUAUAAUUUUGACUUUUGAGCUGCGGAAACAAAAUUUUUAUCCAUUGGAUAAGUUGUUUAUAUUUUUCAUAAAAAUUAAUUGGCUGCUAUGAAAGAAGUUUUUCCAUACCAAAUUCUUGAAUCUUUUUGUUUGACCUUACUUGGAUCAGUUGAUUUAGAUUUUAUGAAAAUUUUGUUCACCAAAUAAUACUAUAUGUUAACGAGAAAGAAAUUAAAGGUUUAGCUAUUGAAAUAUAUAAAUUGAAAGAAAUUUAAGUCUAUUAUAAAAAAAAAAUCAAUUUAAGUCGGACCAUGUUGGCGACUGCAUGUCUUGGUUAAAAUCUAGUUUUAUAUUUAUUCUUACAUUUUUUUUUGUUGACAAGAUCUUCCUCUUACAUAAUUAUCUUUGGUAUUGGUAUUUUUUUUUUUUUUGAUAAGGAAGUAAAGCUUUCCAUUAACAGAACUUUGACAGUAACAACGAAACAUGAUCUGGGAAAUUUUCCAGCCAAAUACACUGAUUUUCAACUUCUAAAGCUUUCUUUGCUACAGAAUGAGCAGCUAUAUUACAGCCCCUUGGAGCAAAUUGAAUUGAUGCUUGGCUCUGGAUCCUAAGCUUUGUCUGGAUUUCAGCAAUAAUCCAAUCAAUUUCUGUCUUGCUUUCCUUUCUGUUUAGUGACAGAUCCACC